AGACCCGAAACCCGGUGAUCUAGCCAUGGGCAGGUUGAAGGUUGGGUAACACUAACUGGAGGACCGAACCGACUAAUGUUGAAAAAUUAGCGGAUGACCUGUGGCUGGGGGUGAAAGGCCAAUCAAACCGGGAGAUAGCUGGUUCUCCCCGAAAGCUAUUUAGGUAGCGCCUCGUGAAUUCAUCUCCGGGGGUAGAGCACUGUUUCGGCUAGGGGGCCAUCCCGGCUUACCAACCCGAUGCAAACUGCGAAUACCGGAGAAUGUUAUCACGGGAGACACACGGCGGGUGCUAACGUCCGUCGUGAAGAGGGAAACAACCCAGACCGCCAGCUAAGGUCCCAAAGUCAUGGUUAAGUGGGAAACGAUGUGGGAAGGCCCAGACAGCCAGGAUGUUGGCUUAGAAGCAGCCAUCAUUUAAAGAAAGCGUAAUAGCUCACUGGUCGAGUCGGCCUGCGCGGAAGAUGUAACGGGGCUAAACCAUGCACCGAAGCUGCGGCAGCGAACGUAUCACCCAAGACAACUUUACGGAGUUGACGAUUGACGGAGCGAAGCGACGUCAAAGCGUUCAUUAAAGUCGAGUUGGCUUAGGGAUACGUUCGUUGGGUAGGGGAGCGUUCUGUAAGCCUGUGAAGGUGUGUCGUGAGGCAUGCUGGAGGUAUCAGAAGUGCGAAUGCUGACAUAAGUAACGAUAAAGCGGGUGAAAAGCCCGCUCGCCGGAAGACCAAGGGUUCCUGUCCAACGUUAAUCGGGGCAGGGUGAGUCGACCCCUAAGGCGAGGCCGAAAGGCGUAGUCGAUGGGAAACGGGUUAAUAUUCCCGUACUUGGUGUUACUGCGAAGGGGGGACGGAGAAGGCUAUGUUGGCCGGGCGACGGUUGUCCCGGUUUAAGCGUGUAGGUGUGUGUUCCAGGUAAAUCCGGUUCACUUUAACACUGAGGCGUGACGACGAGGCACUACGGUGCUGA
This 963-nucleotide ribosomal RNA is filed under the name Salmonella enterica. RNAcentral's name for it is "partial 23S ribosomal RNA". It matches the Rfam family "Bacterial large subunit ribosomal RNA", at positions 711 to 1588 of the family's 2925-position model. The record is from RNAcentral. Lineage: Bacteria; Pseudomonadati; Pseudomonadota; Gammaproteobacteria; Enterobacterales; Enterobacteriaceae. RNAcentral also lists the same sequence under 3 other names.